This 471-nucleotide ribosomal RNA is filed under the name uncultured bacterium. RNAcentral's name for it is "SSU rRNA". It matches the Rfam family "Bacterial small subunit ribosomal RNA", at positions 26 to 518 of the family's 1533-position model. The record is from RNAcentral.
AGGACGAACGCUGGCGGCGUGCUUAACACAUGCAAGUCGAACGGAAAGGCCCUUCGGGGUACUCGAGUGGCGAACGGGUGAGUAACACGUGGGUGAUCUGCCCCGCACUUUGGGAUAAGCCUGGGAAACUGGGUCUAAUACCGAAUAGGACCAUGGCAUGCAUGUGCUGUGGUGGAAAGCUUUUGCGGUGUGGGAUGGGCCCGCGGCCUAUCAGCUUGUUGGUGGGGUUAAGGCCUACCAAGGCGACGACGGGUAGCCGGCCUGAGAGGGUGUCCGGCCACACUGGGACUGAGAUACGGCCCAGACUCCUACGGGAGGCAGCAGUGGGGAAUAUUGCACAAUGGGCGCAAGCCUGAUGCAGCGACGCCGCGUGGGGAUGACGGCCUUCGGGUUGUAACCCUUUCAGUAGGACGAAGCGCAAGUGACGGUACCUACAGAAGAAGCACCGGCCAACUACGUGCCAGCAGCCGC